This 497-nucleotide ribosomal RNA is filed under the name uncultured bacterium. RNAcentral describes it as "partial 16S ribosomal RNA". It matches the Rfam family "Bacterial small subunit ribosomal RNA", at positions 28 to 507 of the family's 1533-position model. The record is from RNAcentral.
GAUGAACGCUGGCGGCGUGCCUAAUACAUGCAAGUCGAGCGAACAGACGAGGAGCUUGCUCCUCUGACGUUAGCGGCGGACGGGUGAGUAACACGUGGAUAACCUACCUAUAAGACUGGGAUAACUUCGGGAAACCGGAGCUAAUACCGGAUAAUAUAUUGAACCGCAUGGUUCAAUAGUGAAAGACGGUUUUGCUGUCACUUAUAGAUGGAUCCGCGCCGCAUUAGCUAGUUGGUAAGGUAACGGCUUACCAAGGCAACGAUGCGUAGAUGACCUGAGAGGGUGAUCGGCCACACUGGAACUGAGACACGGUCCAGACUCCUACGGGAGGAAGCAGUAGGGAAUCUUCCGCAAUGGGCGAAAGCCUGACGGAGCAACGCCGCGUGAGUGAUGAAGGUCUUCGGAUCGUAAAACUCUGUUAUUAGGGAAGAACAAAUGUGUAAGUAACUAUGCACGUCUUGACGGUACCUAAUCAGAAAGCCACGGCUAACUACGUG